Molecule: RNase P RNA, 312 nt
Filed under: Methanonatronarchaeum thermophilum
Lineage: Archaea; Methanobacteriati; Methanobacteriota; Methanonatronarchaeia; Methanonatronarchaeales; Methanonatronarchaeaceae
Description: RNAse P RNA component
Rfam family: Archaeal RNase P
About the family: Ribonuclease P (RNase P) is a ubiquitous endoribonuclease, found in archaea, bacteria and eukarya as well as chloroplasts and mitochondria.
Source: RNAcentral
GAGAGUGGAAGGAUGGCUUCCGCGGCCUUUGUGUCGUGAGGAAAGUCCCCCCACCUCCGGGUAGGGAAUGUCGAGAUGGCAUAGGAUGAGAGUCUUGGCUCUGGUAUAGAAACGACACGGCCUGCAUGGAGCGAUGAUGCGUUUUUAGGCGUUGAGUGUUGAUGUGUGGGAAUCGAUGGAACGACGAAUCCUCCUGGUGCAAGUCCAAAGUGGGUUAUGGGUUGCCCGGCCUUAUCCCAGGUAGGACGCUUAGCGAAAUGCCGUCACCAGUUUUUUUGGCUGGGAACAGAAGGGGGCUUACUCUCCACACUC